UCUGUAAGCUGUUCAUAACUCGGCUCUCAAACAGGGAAGCAAAAUCGAUCUUACCAAGCGAUUUGGAAAUAUCUUCAACCAUCUUUCUUCUGUCAGUUGAAUUCAGUUGCGCGAGUAGAUUAGACAAGGUUGUAUUCGUAUUCAAGCCUGAUAGUUGUCUGAGCAAAUUUGACAGGGUGCCGUUUAGGUUGCCCAGUUGACCAAGCCAUGAUGGUAGCUGGGUAUUACCUGGGGUAAAAAGGCAAAAACAUGCAGCUAGAAGCAACAGCGAUUUUGCUCCAAUGCAAGCCAUUGUUCAAAUGUACAACAACACAAAAAUACAGGUAAUAUAAAUGGCAAUAAAUGGUAAUAUGAUACUAUGAAAAUGUCAAAUAUGCAUGUAA
Paramuricea clavata is the source of this 383-nucleotide non-coding RNA. The record is from the annotation of a GenBank genome assembly. NCBI's taxonomy places the organism in Eukaryota, Metazoa, Cnidaria, Anthozoa, Malacalcyonacea, Plexauridae.